Molecule: long non-coding RNA, 458 nt
Organism: Actinia tenebrosa (Australian red waratah sea anemone)
Lineage: Eukaryota; Metazoa; Cnidaria; Anthozoa; Actiniaria; Actiniidae
Source: RefSeq, a predicted model, not a curated record
CAUCCUCACAGAUUGACGAUUUCACCAUUAUAUAAUCUAGUCGUCCUGUGCGCACUUUUUAAGGCCACAUUAUCAUAAAAGUCAUAUCCAGUUUUAUUGAAAGGUUGCCCCAGCUUUGUUGGUCAAAAUGCAAUUCAUCUUGGAGACUGUCAACUCCGUGUUGUUUAUUGAAGCCAACCAUCUAGAAUAAGCUUGCUUUCACGGCUCAAUGAUAAGUAGCAAUUCUUGAUGUUUUUCGUGGUCGCUUUUUGGCCGUGACUUCAUUCUCCAUUUGCUCAGCAACCUGUAACACACUGCAGUUCCUCCUCGUUAUCUGAAAUACAUAUUUUGUGAUUUGUACAUCACUUAAGUCUCUUGCUUCAAGCUCUAAUUGUUGCGCUUUUAAUCAUCAAAUCCAUCAUACUAGAAAGUCUAUUAUUUCCCUGUAUUCCAAACAAUAAAUCAAGGUAUAUAAUCAA